GGGGUUUGACAUGUCGAUGACGCAGGCAGAGAUGUCUGUUUCUUUCGGGACGUCGACACAGGUGCUGCAUGGCUGUCGUCAGCUCGUGUCGUGAGAUGUUGGGUUAAGUCCCGCAACGAGCGCAACCCUUGUCUCUAGUUACCAGCGAGUAAUGUCGGGGACUCUAGAGAGACUGCCGGUGACAAACUGGAGGAAGGUGGGGAUGACGUCAAGUCCUCAUGGCCCUUACAUCCCGGGCUACACACGUGCUACAAUGGUUAGGACAAUGAGAAGCAAUAUCGCGAGGUGGAGCAAAUCUAUAAACCUAAUCUCAGUUCGGAUUGUAGUCUGCAACUCGACUACAUGAAGCUGGAAUCACUAGUAAUCGUAGAUCAGCUAUGCUACGGUGAAUACGUUCCCGGGUCU
This 405-nucleotide ribosomal RNA is filed under the name uncultured bacterium. RNAcentral describes it as "bacterial SSU rRNA". It matches the Rfam family "Bacterial small subunit ribosomal RNA", at positions 976 to 1381 of the family's 1533-position model. The record is from RNAcentral.